GAUGAACGCUAGCGGCAGGCUUAAUACAUGCAAGUCGAACGGGAUUCGGGGUAGCAAUACUUUGAUGAGAGUGGCGCACGGGUGCGUAACGCGUAUGCAACCUACUUUUAACAGGUGAAUAGCCCCGAGAAAUCGGGAUUAAUACACCGUAACAUUGCGCUGUGGCAUCACAGUGCAAUUAAAGAUUUAUCGGUUAAAGAUGGGCAUGCGUGACAUUAGCUAGUUGGUGAGGUAACGGCUCACCAAGGCAACGAUGUCUAGGGGUCCUGAGAGGGUUAUCCCCCACACUGGUACUGAGACACGGACCAGACUCCUACGGGAGGCAGCAGUAAGGAAUAUUGGUCAAAUGGGCGCAAGCCUGAACCAGCCAUGCCGCGUGCAGGAAGACGGCCCUAUGGGUUGUAAACUGCUUUUGUCAGGGAAUAAACCUGUCUACGAGUAGACAGCUGAAGGUACCUGAAGAAUAAGCAUCGGCUAAACUCCGUGCCAGCAGCCGCGGUAA
RNAcentral lists this ribosomal RNA (502 nucleotides) under uncultured bacterium. RNAcentral's name for it is "bacterial SSU rRNA". It matches the Rfam family "Bacterial small subunit ribosomal RNA", at positions 28 to 523 of the family's 1533-position model. The record is from RNAcentral.